RNAcentral lists this ribosomal RNA (348 nucleotides) under uncultured Helicobacter sp. RNAcentral describes it as "partial 16S ribosomal RNA". Lineage: Bacteria; Pseudomonadati; Campylobacterota; Epsilonproteobacteria; Campylobacterales; Helicobacteraceae. The record is from RNAcentral.
UAGAAUAACAGUUUCAAAUGCAGUUCUAUGGUUAAGCCAUAGGAUUUCACAUCUGACUUGCUAUCCCGCCUACGCGCUCUUUACGCCCAGUGAUUCCGAGUAACGCUUGCACCCUCCGUAUUACCGCGGCUGCUGGCACGGAGUUAGCCGGUGCUUAUUCCUAAGAUACCGUCAUAAUCUUCUCUUAGAAAAGGAGUUUACAAUCCGAAAACCUUCAUCCUCCACGCGGCGUUGCUGCUUCAGGGUUUCCCCCAUUGAGCAAUAUUCCCUACUGCUGCCUCCCGUAGGAGUCUGGACCGUGUCUCAGUUCCAGUGUGUCCGUUCACCCUCUCAGGCCGGAUACCCGUC